GUGCUCAUUUUUAAAGCACAUACACAUAUAUGGUACAGAGAAGUUUAGCAUGGCCUAUAUGGAAGGAUGACAUGCAAAUUCAUGAAGCAUUCCAUAUGAAA
This is a small nuclear RNA of Ictidomys tridecemlineatus (thirteen-lined ground squirrel), 101 nucleotides long. Lineage: Eukaryota; Metazoa; Chordata; Mammalia; Rodentia; Sciuridae. The record is from Ensembl.